AUGGAAGUGCCCUCAGUGAGAAAAGACUCUACCAUCUCAAAUAUUUUAGUACUAGGGCCAAGAAUAUCUAAGAACUUAUCUUGGCAAUUGCAUUUUAGGCUCUUUCUGGCUUUCCAUACAGUUUUUCCUAGAAAUUGGGCAAUCUUGGGGUCUACCUCUGGGAGAACACAGAUGGAUUUAGGAACAGUGGGCCCUGGGCACUUAGCCCUGAGUUUGUUCCUUGUGGCCUUUAGUGAUUUGCACAUAUUUGGCCACAUGUUCUGUGGGGAACCAGCCUGUCAACCGUGGAUGAUAUUAUUUAUCAGGGUCGAAGAAGGGUUUACCCUGGGGGUUAGGCAGGAAAGAGUCAUCUACCUGCGGUUUUGAAGCCUUGGAAUUUGCGAAAGGCAGAACAUCGUCUGGGAAAAACUGGAGCAGUGUGUCGACCAGGUAAGUACUACAACAAGUAGGGGACAUUGAACAGCCAUUAAAGCAGAGGAAAUUGAAUUAGAAAUAUUGGUGGACAUAAUAUCCACACCGACUUAGCCAUAUUUAAGUGGAUUGCCUGGGUCACAGACUAAAGGACUAUGUUGAAUUUCUCUGAAUUAAUUUGAUCAAUAGGGGGUUCCUUAUUACCUCAGAAUACUGGGUUCCCAGAAAUGGAGUGCACACUGGAAGAAGUUCCAGGAAUAGGGCACUGUGGAAUAACUUCAGACAGCAUAUGAGCAGAUGUGUAUACCCAGGGUAGAAUUAGUACAGGAGGGGUAUACCCAGGCAAUGGUAAAUAUGGCAGGCAAGUUGGCAAGGUGCAGUACCAAUUAGGCAGGGAGCACUGCAGUAUACCUGAAGAAAAUUAGUAUACAGGAACAAAUAGGUGAGUUAGUAGCAGCUACCAGUCAUCUCAAUACAGUGGCACAGGGAAAAAUUCUAGUACUGGAAGCUACCCAAAGAUCCAUCAAGAAUGCCUCAAGCGAUCUCCGGGUGCCUGGCUAAUGACAGAGCAUCCAAUCGGCAGCCUCAUGCAGUCAGAACGAGUGUCGCGAAUCUAGGACAAGGCGGCAAAUGUCAAUGACUGCCAAUAAAAGGGCCACCACACCUUGCGACCUGGAAUUGUGCAUGUGUGGCAGUUUGUUUGGCAUGGUUGCACUCCAGAACCAUGGUCCACAGGAAUAGGAGGGAGUGAGGAAGCAAGGGGUUGACGGUGGGGGACAAAACCGACAUUAGUGGGGGACUUAAUGGGAAAGAAAGGUGGAGAGUGUAUGUGCAAGUAUCUACAGAACCUAAAGAAGGGGGUAGGGUAAAGUGUAACCAGAAAAUAGUAAUGACUGCACAAAAGACACCAAUGUAUAUCAGUGAGGAGGAAUAAGGCAACAGGGGCCAAAGGUGAGGCAAUGUAAAAAGUAAAAAUAUAUGGCAAAUGAGCAAAGGGUGCCGCAAAGAAAGAGGAGGUAUUUUGAAUUACAUUCAACUAUAUAUAGUGGGAGAUAUUGU
Molecule: non-coding RNA, 1470 nt
Organism: Pelobates cultripes (western spadefoot toad)
Lineage: Eukaryota; Metazoa; Chordata; Amphibia; Anura; Pelobatidae
Source: the annotation of a GenBank genome assembly